This 434-nucleotide ribosomal RNA is filed under the name uncultured bacterium. RNAcentral's name for it is "partial 16S ribosomal RNA". It matches the Rfam family "Bacterial small subunit ribosomal RNA", at positions 28 to 506 of the family's 1533-position model. The record is from RNAcentral.
GAUGAACGCUGGCGGUAUGCUUAGCACAUGCAAGUCGAACGGACUCUUCGGAGUUAGUGGCGGACGGGUGAGUAACGCGUGAGAAUCUGGCUUUGGGUUCGGGACAACCACUGGAAACGGUGGCUAAUACCGGAUGUGCCGAGAGGUAAAAGAGAAAUUGCCUGAAGAUGAGCUCGCGUCUGAUUAGCUAGUUGGUGAGGUAAAGGCUCACCAAGGCAGCGAUCAGUAGCUGGUCUGAGAGGAUGACCAGCCACACUGGGACUGAGACACGGCCCAGACUCCUACGGGAGGCAGCAGUGAGGAAUAUUCCGCAAUGGGCGAAAGCCUGACGGAGCAAUACCGCGUGAGGGAAGAAGGCUCUUGGGUUGUAAACCUCUUUUCUUAGGGAAGAACAAAAUGACGGUACCAAAGGAAUCAGCAUCGGCGAACUCCGU